GUGGCGCUGAUGAGACUGGCGGGGGGAGGGGGGGCACUCAGUCUUACCCACCGUCGGAGAGGGACAGGGAGGGGGAGAGGGUGAAGAGGCAGGAGAGCUCAGAGAGAGAGGGAACAGGUUACAGCAGGAGCGAGAAGGCUGGUAGGGAACGUGGCCGUCAGAGCACAAGAUCGCCACCUGCUGUUCCUCCCAGGAAAGGCAAAGCUGGCACGAGGGAGGAGGACAGGACUGGCACGAGGGGUGAGGGCAAAGCUGGCACGAGGGAUGAGGACAGGAGUGGCACGAGGGGUGAGGACAGGACUGGCACGAGGGGUGAGGGCAGGACAGCAGAGGAAGACUAUGCAGAGCAGGAAGCAGGAAGCACUAAAGACGAGGGGAGGGAACAUGUGCAUGGAGACAGGAAGACUGAACAGAAGGGACAAGAUGAAACUCAAAACAACAACAAGCACUUAGAGAUGAGCAAACAUAACAAACAUGAAGCCCACUUAGAGAUGAGCAAAGAUAACAAACAGAAUAACUCUACUGAGGACUCUGCUAAGACUAGUACACAAGAGUCCUGGACAAAGACAGUCACCUACACAGAGAAAGAGUCACAGAAAGCUGAGAAUAAGACUCAUGAAAGAGAUACGCUGCACAAAACAAAGAUAAAACCAGAGAUAAACUCAAAACAGUUCGAGACAGCGCAGAAGCAAACCCCUAAGGGGCAGGAAUGUCCUGGUUCUCCAGAGGUGCAGGAAGUGAUUCGCGGGUCGUCUCUUGGGGAAGAGAAGAGUGAGAAGGAGGAGGAGGCGAAGGAGAGAGACAGCGAGGUGUCCGCUCAGAAGGGUCAGAGGGCGAAGCAGAGGCAGAGUUAUGUGAAAGACUUCUUAAGCCUGCUGGGGCUGUCCGGCGAAGAGAAGGCCACAGCUGACCACGAGGCAGCUACCGAGAGGAACAGCAGCGAACACCAACCUGCGUCCCCUGAACUCCACAACACACACACACCUGUGGGGGACAGCGUAACCAUUCACGACAUCCUGAAGCACAGGUCCCCCCCCGUGUACAGUCCACUGCAGUCCCCCGUGAGGUCCCCCUCUUCAUACAGCCAUAACUUAUCUCAGAAGCACUCAACAGAACAGGAGUGCAGCGUUAAGUUGGAGCAGAGAGGAGCAGAUGUUAGCAAGCCAAAGGAGGACUUGGUGAAGCCAAAGGAGGACUUGGUGAAGCCAAAGGAGGACUCGGUGAAGCCUGAGUUAGACUACUGCACCUUCGGUGACCCAGGAAGUGAAUCAGAUGCUUCGGAGCGGCAGAUUGUGUCUCCUCUCAGUGACCUGGACCACGCCGGAUGGCUCCGCGGUCUGAUCGAACACGCCCAGAGCCUCACCCCGAAAGACCUGACACCCGUCAGCUUGACCCCCAGCCAGUCCAAUGCCUCCUCACCCACCCCGGCCACCAAGCCAGUGCUGUUCAAGGUGAAGGACAACACGUUCGCCUCCUCCUCCACCUCCUCCACCUCCUCCCCCGUCACCAAGACGGUCCGGCCCGUCCUGCACAAGUCCGUCCAGGACAUGAUCACAAAGCCCUGGUCCCCCCCGCAGGACAGCCUGAGCGGCUCAAAGCCCUGGUCCCCGCAGGAGAACCCGAGCGGGUCAAAGCCCUGGUCCCCCCCGCAGGAGAGUCUGAGCGGGUCAAAGCCCUGGUCCCCGCGCGAGAGCCUGAGCGGGUCCGAGAGGGGCGAGGAGGAGCCGGACCGCCCCAGGGAGGCACUGCGGAUCCCCAUCUUGGUGGAGACGGCCAGCUCCCCACUCCCAGAGAGCUCCCACUCCACACCUGCAGAGGGCGCCGCUGCCCCUCUGCCCCCCUCACCCUCCCGGCCGCCCCCCUCACCCUCCCGGCUGCCCCAGGGGCAGAUGCUGGAGGUGCCGGAGGAGGGGGGGCGGGGCUCUGUCUCGAGUAGCCUAUCGGAGGGCGUGAGAAGCAACGACACGAGCGUGGGUGACGAGACGGGGCUGGGCGCGGCACAGACCGACGACCCAGAGGGCGAGAGGUGCGAGUCGGAGUCGGUCUGCAGUGGCACAGAGGGCACAGAGGGUCUGAGCAGGAAGCCCCCGCCCGCCGUCUUGCCCAAAAGUGAGAAGGCACUGAGACGGGCCAAGAGGCUGACCACCCGCCGCAUCCAGAAGGCAGAGGUGAAGGGCCGCAAAACGGACCGCAAGAACCGCAGUGCAGAGAAGCCGGAACCCGACAAGAAGAACCACAGCGGAGAGAAGGUAGAGCUCGACCUGAAGAACUGGAUCCAGAACAAUCCAGGGACUGACCAGGAGCACCAGGGCAGAGAGAGAACAGAGUCAGAGCACAAUCACCACAGCAGUGAUCACCAUAGCAACAGGCACAUUCACCACAGCAGUGAUCACCAUAGCGACAGGCACAUUUACCACAGCAGCAGCAGCGAGAAACAACAGGACAAAUCGAAAAACAGUGAUCACCAUAGCAACAUGCCCUCGAGCCACAGCGGUCCCCAUGACCACGACCGCAAAGGCAGGAGCGGCGAGAAACACGCGCGCGUCAAACAUGCGAGCUACAGCAGCGACAGGCACAUCGGCAACCAUAGAGACCUGAGGAGCCAUGGCAACGGGAGAGACUCUGCUGAGCAGGUGUCCGAGCAGCAUCAGCAUCAGCAUCAGCACCAGCACCAGCAGGUUUACCUGAUGGAGAGUCCCAGUGAUAUCGGUUGCCGUGGCGACCGGAGGAGCAGGAGUCUGGAGCGAGACCUCCAGCCCCGCCCCAGCCAGCACCGGCGCCAGUCACGUGACCACAACCACGCAGGAAGUGACAUCAAAUCAGCCCAGUCGUCCAGAGGUUCAUCCCGCCGCACCUCCCUCAACGGCCUCCUUGUGCGUCAGAACAGCUCCGAGCACACGUACCCCCCCCAGACCACACGUACCCCCCCACGACCUCUAACCUGGUGCCCCAGUCCUUCCCCAUGACCCAGCGGAAGCUGCUGCAGGAUCCCGACUCGGGCCAGUACUUUGUGGUGGACAUGCCAGUGCAGGUCAAGACCAAGACCUUCUUCGACCCGGAGACCGGCAGCUACGUGCACCUCCCUGUGCAGUCAGCAGAGGGCGCUCUGCCAGCAGGGCCGGGUCCCGUCUCUAUGGAGAUGCUGAACCCGUCCAUGGUGGUGUACCACGGGUUCGUGCCGGUGCCUGUGUCGUCCUCUCUGCCCCAGCAUAAAGCCAAUGCUCCCUCUGGUGAGGGCAUGGAGGUGGUGAUGGAGAACAGUGCCCCCCAGUGGCAAGAGGACUGUACUCACAAACGCAGUAGAAAUGAACAUCCUUACAUAGAGCCAGCGUAUGUGUUGAAGGAGCACACUCCUGAGGAGGAGCUGGACAGCAUGAGAUGAGAGAGGAGGAGGAGGAGGAGGAGGAAGAGGAGGAGGAGGACAGCAUGAGAUGAGAGAGGAGGAGGAGGAGGAGGAGGAGGAGGAGUGGUAGAAUGAUAAUACGGACAGUGUGGAGUUCAAAUGAGCUUAAGAUUGAAAGCUUUUGAAUUCAGGGAUUGCCAGUUGUUUUUGAUAUGCACUCUGUAAUGGUUUUACUCAAGGAGUGGUUGAAGACGUGUAAAUAUGCUGUGUGUUUGAAUAGACACUAAGAGACUGUAAAUCUUUCUGUGAAUGAAGGGCAGUGUCUGUUUCUACACUCUCAGGCCUUGCUGUUUUUUUAAAUGAUGAAGAAUGUAAAAAUAGCUUUUGCUAUAUUUUUGUACUUUUGCCUUGAUCUCAGUGACUGAACACCCGUGUGAUUUGUAAUGCUUUAUUUGAAACCUAUUCUAAACACAGACGUGAUGACUAAUGUCUGUUUUCAAAUGUAUUCUGAACACGAAUCACGUGAUUGGUAAUGUCUGUUUUAAAACGUAUUCUCUACAAUUGCUGACACGUUUUGAGUGUUGAUGUGAAGAUUACUUUUUGAAGAGAGUUGUGUGGCCAUCGCUUUACUACUGACGUGUAGGCAUGGAGAGUAACGUCAAGGUGGCCCGAACCGUACACUUUGUUUAGGACGUGAUUUUCUGAGACAGCUUUUGGAAGACGCAUAUUUUGGAAUUAAGUAGUAUUCAUGGUGAAACGGAGAUGAGUCGGCUUCAUAUGUAAACCAUUCCAAUAAAAUACUUGCCAUGCCAGCUAAUGCCUCACCCCCCCCCCCCCCCCCCGAGUCUGAUCUGUUAUAUCUCAGGACGGACUUCCUUGUGACAUUUUAGAAUCAGAAUCAGAAUGGGAUUUAUUGGAAUUUUUUCUGGUGUGAAGGUGCAUACAGUAAACAUAAAAACAUACAAACACAAUAAGUACUACACAUAACAUACAAACAUAAAAACACAAAUAAGUACUACACAUAAGAAAAGUACUACACAUAAGAACCAAAAAACACAAUAUAUACGAUACAAAUAGAUAAACAAUGAAUAAAAAAAAGUAU
Long non-coding RNA from Clupea harengus (Atlantic herring), 4445 nucleotides. NCBI's taxonomy places the organism in Eukaryota, Metazoa, Chordata, Actinopteri, Clupeiformes, Clupeidae. The record is from Ensembl.